GCCGUUGUAGCACAAUGGUAGUGCGUUGCUUUCCUAUGUUGGGGAUCAAACCCCUCCGUUGAGAGGCAGAGGCUGUGGGUUCGAGUCCCAUCAACGGUU
This 99-nucleotide transfer RNA is filed under the name Ephemerocybe angulata. RNAcentral describes it as "Coprinellus angulatus tRNA". It matches the Rfam family "tRNA". Rfam says of the family: Transfer RNA (tRNA) molecules are approximately 80 nucleotides in length. Their secondary structure includes four short double-helical elements and three loops (D, anti-codon, and T loops). Lineage: Eukaryota; Fungi; Basidiomycota; Agaricomycetes; Agaricales; Psathyrellaceae. The record is from Rfam by way of RNAcentral.